RNAcentral lists this ribosomal RNA (575 nucleotides) under Sphingomonas sp. JMT1938. RNAcentral describes it as "bacterial SSU rRNA". It matches the Rfam family "Bacterial small subunit ribosomal RNA", at positions 56 to 677 of the family's 1533-position model. The record is from RNAcentral. Lineage: Bacteria; Pseudomonadati; Pseudomonadota; Alphaproteobacteria; Sphingomonadales; Sphingomonadaceae.
UGCAAGUCGAACGAGACCUUCGGGUCUAGUGGCGCACGGGUGCGUAACGCGUGGGAAUCUGCCCUCUGGUACGGAAUAACUCAGGGAAACUUGAGCUAAUACCGUAUAAUGACUUCGGUCCAAAGAUUUAUCGCCUGAGGAUGAGCCCGCGUAGGAUUAGCUUGUUGGUGAGGUAAAAGCUCACCAAGGCGACGAUCCUUAGCUGGUCUGAGAGGAUGAUCAGCCACACUGGGACUGAGACACGGCCCAGACUCCUACGGGAGGCAGCAGUGGGGAAUAUUGGACAAUGGGCGAAAGCCUGAUCCAGCAAUGCCGCGUGAGUGAUGAAGGCCUUAGGGUUGUAAAGCUCUUUUACCCGGGAAGAUAAUGACUGUACCGGGAGAAUAAGCCCCGGCUAACUCCGUGCCAGCAGCCGCGGUAAUACGGAGGGGGCUAGCGUUGUUCGGAAUUACUGGGCGUAAAGCGCACGUAGGCGGCUUUGUAAGUUAGAGGUGAAAGCCCGGGGCUCAACUCCGGAAUUGCCUUUAAGACUGCAUCGCUAGAAUUGUGGAGAGGUGAGUGGAAUUCCGAGUGUA